RNAcentral lists this ribosomal RNA (321 nucleotides) under uncultured eukaryote. RNAcentral describes it as "partial 18S ribosomal RNA". It matches the Rfam family "Eukaryotic small subunit ribosomal RNA", at positions 1470 to 1796 of the family's 1831-position model. The record is from RNAcentral.
CCCUUAGAUGUCCUGGGCUGCACGCGCGCUACACUGACACGUUCAACGAGUUUUGCCUGCUCCGAUGGGACUGGGUAAUCUUAUGAAAGCGUGUCGUGAUGGGGAUAGAUUAUUGCAAUUAUUAAUCUUCAACGAGGAAUUCCUAGUAAGUACAAGCCAUCAGCUUGUGCUGAUUACGUCCCUGCCCUUUGUACACACCGCCCGUCGCUCCUACCGAUUGGGUGAUCCGGUGAAUAACUCGGACUGCAGCUAUUCGGGAGACCGUUAGCUUGUGGAAAGUUUAGUAAAUCUUAUCACUUAGAGGAAGGAGAAGUCGUAACA